AUCAAUUGUCUGUGUAUGGUGUUGCUGC
Molecule: non-coding RNA, 28 nt
Filed under: Cricetulus griseus (Chinese hamster)
Lineage: Eukaryota; Metazoa; Chordata; Mammalia; Rodentia; Cricetidae
Source: RNAcentral